This 497-nucleotide ribosomal RNA is filed under the name uncultured bacterium. Its description in RNAcentral is "partial 16S ribosomal RNA". It matches the Rfam family "Bacterial small subunit ribosomal RNA", at positions 28 to 507 of the family's 1533-position model. The record is from RNAcentral.
GAUGAACGCUGGCGGCGUGCCUAAUACAUGCAAGUCGAGCGAACAGACGAGGAGCUUGCUCCUCUGACGUUAGCGGCGGACGGGUGAGUAACACGUGGAUAACCUACCUAUAAGACUGGGAUAACUUCGGGAAACCGGAGCUAAUACCGGAUAAUAUAUUGAACCGCAUGGUUCAAUAGUGAAAGACGGUUUUGCUGUCACUUAUAGAUGGAUCCGCGCCGCAUUAGCUAGUUGGUAAGGUAACGGCUUACCAAGGCAACGAUGCGUAGCCGACCUGAGAGGGUGAGCGGCCACACUGGAACUGAGACACGGUCCAGACUCCUACGGGAGGCAGCAGUAGGGAAUCCUCCGCAAUGGGCGAAAGCCUGACGGAGCAACGCCGCGUGAGUGAUGAAGGUCUUCGGAUCGUAAAACUCUGUUAUUAGGGAAGAACAAAUGUGUAAGUAACUAUGCACGUCUUGACGGUACCUAAUCAGAAAGCCACGGCUAACUACGUG